UAAAAUUUCCCAAGUUUUCUUUGUUGAUUUCAAGUUCAAUACAUUUUCACACUUACGUCUCAUACUUUCUUGAAUAAAAGAAAAGUAAUUUAAACUUAUUUGUUAGCUAGCAUGUGUAUGAGAUCAUCAGUUUCUGUUUCCACAGCUGAAAAAGAGUCUUUUUUCUCAAGAUUACGGAAUAUGUUUCAUCUCAGAAGGAAGGAAGAGGAGAAGAAGAAGACAAUGACAACGACAAUAAUGACAACAGCUACUACUACUAAUACUACUACUAACUGUUUUCCUGUGAGUGACAAUAGUUGUAGUAGUAACAAGGGAGAGUUAGAGAGGGUAUUUACCUACUUUGACGAGAACGGAGAUGGAAAGGUAUCACCAGCAGAGCUAAGGAGGUGCAUGAAGGCGGUAGGAGGUGAACUGACGGUAGAGGAGGCAGAGAUGGCAGUGAGGCUAUCAGAUUCCGAUGGGGACGGGUUGUUAGGAUUGGAGGAUUUCACGAAGCUAAUGGAAGGAAUGGAGGAAGAGAGGAAUAAAGAGAGUGAGUUAAUUGGAGCAUUUGGAAUGUAUGAAAUGGAAGGAUAUAUAACACCUAAGAGCUUGAAGAGGAUGUUAAAUCGACUUGGAGUUCAACCUUAGAUGCUUGAAGAUGAGCCAACUUUGCUUUCUUUUGGUUGAGACAAGUAGAUGAAGCAUUCAACCUUCCUCUUGCUUGAGCUUCCCGUUGUUCGAAGUAACCAACUGAUGAAGAAAAGCUUGAUAAUUUUAGAAGCUUUUCAUGCGCACCUUCAAGCUUCAUUCUCAACAAACUUAAGUCCUCUGAUACAGGAUUAUGCAAAACAUCUGAUGAUUUGUCUUCCAUUACAACAUCCUGCUUCAGAUAGGAGGCACAAGGAUCCUCGGGAAGUUCAUGUGGUACAGCUUCUGCCGUUGAUUCAGGAUAAAUGGUUUCCACCAUCAUGUAAUUGCUUUUGCCCAAUACUUCAGAAGUAUGUUCUUUACCUGGUUUUAAUGGUUUAUUCUCUAUAAUUUCUGUAGUCUUGUAGCUAGGUAGUUCAUCUGAAUCAGCAGUAAUAUUGCUUUUCUGUAAAGUUACUGUCUCCCCUGACGAAACAAUUUCAUCUAAAUCAUGAUUUUGUAAAGCAUGUUCAAAAAAAUGUUGGUUGUCAUCUUCAA
This is an RNA transcript of Solanum dulcamara, 1167 nucleotides long. It is a transcript of the gene named putative calcium-binding protein CML19, with no coding region annotated. Lineage: Eukaryota; Viridiplantae; Streptophyta; Magnoliopsida; Solanales; Solanaceae. The record is from RefSeq and is a predicted model, not a curated record. The transcript has 3 exons.